UGUUUAGUUCUUGUGAAGGAUUAGAUUCGAAUUAGACAUAUGCCUUAUUCCUUGAUUAAGAAUUUUUAAAUAUUUCUAUUCACCUCUCUAGUCACCAUUCUGAUCUUUUACAAAUAAGAGGGGGCUUGGAAGCUCGAGGAUGAAGCUAAGCAUCAGUGGUCCAGCCUUGACGCAUAAUAAUUUUGAUGGAGGGUGUCUCAGCAUCUUUGCAUGCUUUGUGGCAAGCAAUUGCUUGAGUGGAAGUUUCGUCGAUGAUUGGGCUUAGAGCCUUGCAGACCCAAUAGCAAUCAUGCUACUACUUUUCUGUGGCCAAUAGGAGCGUUUUCACAUCUCUGCUUAUGACUGUAUGACUGGAUUUGUUUCAGAGAAAAAAUAGCAAUAAUGAGGGGAUUGCAUGAUAUAGUGCAGAU
This is a long non-coding RNA of Phragmites australis (common reed), 410 nucleotides long. RefSeq lists it as uncharacterized. Lineage: Eukaryota; Viridiplantae; Streptophyta; Magnoliopsida; Poales; Poaceae. The transcript has 2 exons. The record is from RefSeq and is a predicted model, not a curated record.